RNAcentral lists this ribosomal RNA (776 nucleotides) under uncultured Pseudomonadota bacterium. RNAcentral describes it as "bacterial SSU rRNA". It matches the Rfam family "Bacterial small subunit ribosomal RNA", at positions 577 to 1342 of the family's 1533-position model. The record is from RNAcentral. Lineage: Bacteria; Pseudomonadati; Pseudomonadota.
GGUUUGUUAAGUUAGAUGUUAAAUACUGAGGCUCAACCUCAGCACGGCAUUUGAUACUGGCAGACUUGAAUGCGGUAGAGGUAAAGGGAAUUCCUGGUGUAGCGGUGAAAUGCGUAGAUAUCAGGAGGAACAUCGGUGGCGUAAGCGCUUUACUGGGCCGUAAUUGACGCUGAGGAACGAAAGCCAGGGUAGCGAAUGGGAUUAGAUACCCCAGUAGUCCUGGCCGUAAACGAUGGAUACUAGGUGUUGCGGGUAUCGACCCCUGCAGUGCCGUAGCUAACGCGAUAAGUAUCCCGCCUGGGGAGUACGCACGCAAGUGUGAAACUCAAAGGAAUUGACGGGGACCCGCACAAGCGGUGGAACAUGUGGUUUAAUUCGAAGCAACGCGAAGAACCUUACCAAGACUUGACAUCUAGAGAACCUUUAUGAAAGUAGAGGGUGCUCUUCGGAGAACUCUAAGACAGGUGGUGCACGGUUGUCGUCAGCUCGUGUCGUGAGAUGUUGGGUUAAGUCCCACAACGAGCGCAACCCUCGUUGUUAGUUGCAUGCAUCGGUAUACUGGUGCAGUGCUCUCUAGCAAGACUGCCGGUGAUAAACCGGAGGAAGGUGGGGACGACGUCAAAUCAUCAUGCCCCUUAUGUCUUGGGCUACACACGUGUUACAAUGGUUGGUACAACGAGCCGCCAACUCGCGAGAGUGAGCAAAUCUCUUAAAACCAGCCUCAGUUCGGAUUGCACUCUGCAACUCGAGUGCAUGAAGUCGGAAUCGCUAGUAAA